Molecule: long non-coding RNA, 2374 nt
Organism: Equus caballus (horse)
Lineage: Eukaryota; Metazoa; Chordata; Mammalia; Perissodactyla; Equidae
Source: Ensembl
CAAGAAAGGCAGGUGAAACAGACUCUCAGGCCAGAAGAGUGGCUAACAGGGAGCGGAGGUAUGCUGUGUGGGCUGUGUGCCCCAGCCGGCUCCCCUUUGCACCGAGGCCUCAGGCCCGGGCCCUGGACAGCGCUGCCCGUCUCCCGCUGAGUGAAGGAGUCCACAGCCGGACUCUAGACGCAGCUUCUGUGAAAUAGUCAUCAUUUCAAUUAACUAACAGUUGGAAGUUACAGGCCUUUUCUCUCCCUUUGAUCACUGUCAGGGAUCAAUCAGUGCAGAGCACAUCAGCGCCUCGGCGGAGCUGCAGAGCUCAAUUAACACGCAUGGCAUCUACUCCCUGCUUCCUGGAUGCAGCUCACAUCACCCAGGACCCUGAGCAAGCAACACUGUGGGCUUCACUAAGUCUUAAUGGACUCAGCCAUGCGCCUGGAAGCCCCUGCCAACUGCAUCAUACACACAUGUGUGGAAGUAAGAGGCAGUGGCAGCCUUCUGGAAAUAUCUAAACCAUGUGACCUUGAAGAGCAGCUAAAAGGAAGAGAGAAAAAAAAGCUCUUUAAUCAAACUGUAUCAGAGAUGCCCUUUGCCGUUGAGAAAGAAGCAGAGCUUAAUAAACCAGGAAUGCCCCAGCUAGGAAGUUGGAGAAUUUGAGUAAAUUAAGCCCGAGUGGUUGAUGAUCACCGAGGAGACGUGUGAAUUGGAUUGUCACAGAAGACUAUGGGGCCUGCUGUCACCCUGCUAUUGGCAGAAUGCUGAUGGGGAGGUUGACAACCCACUUUUAACACAGCCACACAUGCUCCCAGUGACUUGGCCCACAUAUAAACAGGGACUUGAGCACCAGUUUGUUAAUUCCGCGCGGCUACUUUAUCUGAGCUGCCCAGCUGGCAUUGCAGCUGCAGGAGUGUCGGUUUCCCAGGGCAUAAAUUUACCCCCCUCUAUAAUGAGCCGGGCAGCAGAAAGAUAGCAAUCCCAAAUAAAAGGCAGAAAGCAAAUCCAAAUGGGAAACAUUCUGCAGACAAAGGAGAAGAUUGGCAGUCUAGCAAAUGCUGAGGCUGGAGCUGGCUGCUAUUGCCCUUCUGUUGAGCACGUACUGUUGGGGCAGACUUCUUUUGUCUUUCUCAAUUUGAUUAGACUUUCCCAAAGUGUAGCACAUGGACAUACCCAGGAUGACUUUUGGUUAAAUGUGGUAGAUGGACAAGCUUUUAAAAAUGGUAACAGUUAUGAUUCUGUUCUCAUGAAUAUUAGAUACAAUCAAAAUGGCACAGCAAACCCAUGCUUUGACUACUAUUCUUUCUUAGAGUGAGGUAAAGUUGGCAAAAGUGAGUCGAAUCAAAGUAAAUUUAAAGAAAAAUACUGCAUACAUAAUAGCACCUGUGAUGAAUGGAUAUGUCAAAAGGCAUAAAGGGAUUUUCAAAUGGCUGAAGUUUAGGAAAAUUUGAGCUAGAAUAUUUUCCUUGGGUUGGGGGUUUCAUGCCAUUCAACCUAUGAAGCGGUCCUGCAUACGUGGUGAAAAGAGGUAGGAUGGAGCAAAUCAUUUUAAAGAGGAAAGGAAGACUGGAGGAUAGGAAUAAACCAUGGAAAUAAAAGAAGGAUCUUAAAAUUUGUCUCUUACCCGUUUUUAUUUUAUCUUUAUUUGUCAAAUGGGCUAAAGGAAGUUCCACAGUCAUAAGCCUGGGAAUAGAAAAAUGUAAGCGUCCACAGAUAUUUUUUUCCACACUGUGUUUCAGUGACACAUGACACACUGUUCAGUCCUGCCAUGGGGCCAGACCCAGGUCUGCGCGAUGGCCCUGCAAGCCUCUGCAAAUCUCUUUCUUAAUCAGAAAAUUUUAAUUUCAAAAAUUUGUGACACACAGGCGAAGGGAUCUCACAGCACGUCCCUGGAGUCAGGUUGCUCCCUCACCGCGUACAAAGAUACAAAGUAAGACCCUCAGACCAAGAACAUGCUCUUGAGGUGCUCACGUGUCAAUGAUCAGUUGUAAAACCAUGAAAGUUCUCUUUGGAUUACCAAAAAGUAAUUUUCAACUAUUACAUUUUUAAUUAAAUUUUUAUUAAGAUUUUAUUAUAAAUUAGAACAUCAAAAGCAUGUAUACUAUAUAUGUGUGUAUGGCAUGCAUACACACACAUACAUAUGUAUAUUUUUAAAAUAAUAAGACACACUCGUACCCUUCAGCCAGCUUAAGAUAUAGAAAAUGACUAGGAUCCCGAAGCUGCUGCUGUGCCCCCAGCAGCAACUCCAUUCCCCGCCUUUCUCAGGCACCUCCUUUACUGCGUGUAAUAUGGAUCAUCUCCUUGCUUUCUUUAUAAUCUUACUAUGUGUGCGUGUACCCCUAAGCAAUAUAGUCUCUAACAUUUCCUGUCCUUCCAUGCUGUAAUAAAG